GUAAUUGUUUUAAAUGCAGAUUUUAUACUGCUUUAUUCAAAAUUGUAUGCAUAUUAUGGAAACGCCGUCGCUUCUCGACUUCGUUGCUGCCAUAUUAUCAACAUUGUUACCAAAUCAAUCUUUUACAGACAAAUCUUUUCAGAUAAAUAUAAAAACAUAUAUAUGUAUAUAAGCAUAUGUAAACACAUAUGUAAAUUAACUUUAUGUGGUCGGAAACGCUUCCUUCGGUGCGUUACAUACAACUGUUAUUCGCACAAAUACAAUAUACCCUAUUUACUCUUCGAGUACCGGGUAUAAAAGGAAACAAUUCCUGUACAUGAACUAGCAUGUCAAUUAACUUUAUGUC
Molecule: long non-coding RNA, 346 nt
Filed under: Drosophila guanche
Lineage: Eukaryota; Metazoa; Arthropoda; Insecta; Diptera; Drosophilidae
Source: RNAcentral